AAGAAAGUUUUAAAAAUAAAAUUUAAAACUAUAUAUAUUAAGUCCUAUAUAUCAGAUUUGUAACCCUCUCAUCUAUAUCUUACAUUCAUGUGUUAAGUUUAUAAAGAAGAGAACAAGGAUGGAGUCAUGCACCGAUGACAGUUGAAGCUGCCAGCAUGAUCUGAGCUUUCUUUCUUUUAGUUAUAUCACCUCUAUGAACUUAAAUAUAACCUAAGUCUAGAGAGAGUAUAUGUGGUAAGAACUAAGAACAGAUCAUGUCGGAGCUUCACCUGUUGAAUGGAAGCAUUUCAAGUUGAGUUUCAUCCAGGAUGCCAGAAAAAAACAGAAAAGGUAACUUGCUGUUUAUGAGCCUUGUACAAAGAAAGGAAACAAAACACCAGAAAAACAAAGGAAACGAGGCAGUUUGGACUCAUGGCGGCCACCAUGGCAUUCACCAUGAUGGUAGCCACGAGGGCCCACCACCUCUAGGUCAAAAGACAUAAUAUUUCCCAUUUUGACUCCAUGGCACUCGACAUGGAUCUGUGGCGGUCACCCCGUGCCAAAGUUCGCUUCAGUCAAAGAUGGGCCUUACUUGGCCACCAAGUACCCAACUUCCUCCAAAAAUCUUACCCACAAAUCCAGCGGAACGUAACCAGCUUUUAAGGUUUUUAGUUUAUUAUAAAUAGGGGGUUUAGUUCACUAUUUUAAGGCAUCCAAGCUUUUGUACAAUAAGCCAUAUAGUUCACCAUUAGAAAAGCCUUAAUCCUUCACAUCAUGGCGAUUAUAGCGAUUGAUUUUUGUACUGGAGCUAGGAGCACCUUUUAUUUCCAACAAUUUAUUUCAUAACGCGUUUUAUUGAAGCCAGCUUAUUUCUUCCA
Long non-coding RNA from Vicia villosa (hairy vetch), 857 nucleotides. RefSeq lists it as uncharacterized. The transcript has 2 exons. The record is from RefSeq and is a predicted model, not a curated record. NCBI's taxonomy places the organism in Eukaryota, Viridiplantae, Streptophyta, Magnoliopsida, Fabales, Fabaceae.